UCUUGAUGAAAAUACAAACACAUACAUCUGUGUGAUGUUUUCCUUUUUUAGGGGGCCAAGCCUGAAGGGUUGGAACCCUAUUGUUUUUGUAAGGAUUAUUUUUUUCAUUAUUAUUAUUUUAUUUUUCAGAAUUCACAUAUUGAUAAAAUGUUCACAGACGGUACUUAAAUGUUACCAGGUCAUAGGAUAGAGGGAUUAUUUGUUUAUCAAAACGGCGGAUGCGUGUGCAGAAAGAUUGCAAAAAGAAAAUCUCUGGUAUAAAGGCUGGGACAAAUUAUUAUCGAAUUAUAAUAUGUACACAUUAUGUUGAAAUAUAGAACGUCGCGAUUCCCAUUGAAACGAAUGGCGCAGUGAUUAUUCUUCAAAACGAGAGCUGGUAAAAUGUGAAAAAUGAAUUAAACUGUAAUCAGACAACGCGGUUAUAUGAACCCUAGAGUAUCUGUAGUAUAAAGGCUGGGACGUAUUUCGAUUUAUAAAUAUGUACAAUCCAAAGCGUUAGCUCUCUGGCUCAUAGCUCAUCGGACUCGAAUACCUCCCGUUGCCAAGUUGUAGCUACGGUCCGUCCUAUUUAUGUGAAGACCUUAAUUGAAUGAUCUUAAUUUCUUCUCCUUGGCAAGUGACCAUGGUAUAUGCAUAAUAAUGCCCUUCGAGGUGUCAAAAACAUGUUUGAUCGAUCUUAAUUAAAGGGGACUACUUUUUGAGGGAGAUUAACUCAAACAGAGUAUACAUUUAAUAAGAGUGCAAUACGAAUAAAAAAAAGCAGAAUUAUUAAAGUAUUUGAAUUGUUUUAUUAUGUUGGCAAGCAAGAAGUAGAAUAAAUGGGAUAAUCAGUCUUAUUAAAAGGGUUUGCGCAACCAACCGCACAACAAGACAUGAUUGCGGCUCUUGUCGUUCCUGUCUGUUUCUGCCAACGACAUGCGUGUAGAGCGCAACACAAAAUUCAUACAUUUAAUAGCUUCAAUUUCAUGGAUUUAAUGGCGGCAUACACUCAAUUUAUUUCCAGCUCUCAAGAAAAAAAAUCAUUAAAAAAAAUCAACCAUUAAAAUAGCUAAAGGUAAACUAUUCAAACAAACAAAUAGUUAAUGAGAACAAGUAAAUGUUCUACUAAAACUUCUAAACUAGAAACCAUACCAACAAACAGGGGCCAAUGUUUCUUUCAAUUUCUUCUCCCCCCCAGGAAUGUGACAUGAUCAGACCCCACAAUUAAUUACAGGCUAAUGACAAAAAUCGAAUACAUUUGUUACAGUGGAACCGGUGAAGUUAGUUGCAUUCGCAGUUAUAGCUGUAUUAGGUGGGGUCAUUGUCAACCUUUAUGUGGUCCCAAGACCCUUCUCAAGAGGACCCUUCUUCAUCCUGUGGACUUUAGAAGGAGUAUAAAAGUAUCUAUGUAAUAUUUUGUAUUGUGUGAGCUUUCCCCUUGCCUCUCUCACAUAUUUACCACAAUCCGCAAACAUCUUUGCCCAAUUGUCACACUUGAUCUCUACACUAAUGUCCCUCUGCCAAAUCAAUCUCAUAAUAUUAGAAUCAUUAAACAGAGAAGCAUUAGCAGUCUUGUAAAAUUUAAUGGCUUUACAUUUUUCUAGUGGUAGUUUGAUAUAAUUCAUGACAUUAUUAUCAGCAACACUGUCUGGCUGAGAACUAAUACAGCUCUGUAUCUGCAAAUAAAUCUGUGUGAUGCUUAAACUAUCCGUGGUGUGAAAGGGACAUCGGGCUUGCAAUACUUUGAUGUCAAUGUACAUUGUCUUUUUUUUACCUCUUGCUAAUGUUUGUUAUUAUUAUGCUAGUAUUAAUAAUGAAAAUAAUUAUAAAAAAUCCAAUUAUUAUUUUGGAAGAAACUUCUCUUUCUCAGUUUCAGAGGGAUCCAAUAGAACACAUUGGAUCCCAUUAGGAGUCUUCCUUGCAGCUAUCGUCAUCAGCAUCAUCAUCAUCUGGAGAAAAAAUGUCAAACAACGCAACGAAAGCCAUCAAUACGGUACUUCGAACCCUCAGACAAAGCACGGUUUGACCCGUCAUAUGUUUAUCUAUUUAUUUAGUCAUUAAGAAGAGUUGAAGUAGUCUUAGU
This is an RNA transcript of Gadus macrocephalus (Pacific cod), 2062 nucleotides long. It is a transcript of the gene named CD276 antigen-like, with no coding region annotated. Lineage: Eukaryota; Metazoa; Chordata; Actinopteri; Gadiformes; Gadidae. The record is from RefSeq and is a predicted model, not a curated record. The transcript is spliced from 3 exons.